Molecule: ribosomal RNA, 273 nt
Filed under: uncultured Sediminibacterium sp.
Lineage: Bacteria; Pseudomonadati; Bacteroidota; Chitinophagia; Chitinophagales; Chitinophagaceae
Description: partial 16S ribosomal RNA
Rfam family: Bacterial small subunit ribosomal RNA
Source: RNAcentral
UACGGAGGGUGCAAGCGUUAUCCGGAUUCACUGGGUUUAAAGGGUGCGUAGGCGGGUAUUUAAGUCAGUGGUGAAAUCCUAGAGCUUAACUCUAGAACUGCCAUUGAUACUAUUUAUCUUGAAUAUGGUGGAGGUAAGCGGAAUAUGUCAUGUAGCGGUGAAAUGCUUAGAUAUGACAUAGAACACCUAUUGCGAAGGCAGCUUACUACGCAUAUAUUGACGCUGAGGCACGAAAGCGUGGGGAUCAAACAGGAUUAGAAACCCCCGUAGUCC